UACAGAGGGUGCAAGCGUUAAUCGGAAUUACUGGGCGUAAAGGGCGCGCAGGCGGUUUGGCGAGUGUGAUGUGAAAGCCCCGGGCUUAACUUGGGAAGAGCAUCGCAAACGGCCAGACUGGAGUAGAUGAGAGGGUGGCGGAAUUUCCGGUGUAGCGGUGAAAUGCGUAGAGAUCGGAAGGAACGUCAAUGGCGAAGGCAGCCACCUGGCAUCAUACUGACGCUGAGGCGCGAAAGCGUGGGGAGCGAACAGG
This 253-nucleotide ribosomal RNA is filed under the name uncultured bacterium. Its description in RNAcentral is "partial 16S ribosomal RNA". It matches the Rfam family "Bacterial small subunit ribosomal RNA", at positions 524 to 776 of the family's 1533-position model. The record is from RNAcentral.